This 272-nucleotide ribosomal RNA is filed under the name uncultured Subdoligranulum sp. RNAcentral describes it as "partial 16S ribosomal RNA". It matches the Rfam family "Bacterial small subunit ribosomal RNA", at positions 75 to 339 of the family's 1533-position model. Lineage: Bacteria; Bacillati; Bacillota; Clostridia; Eubacteriales; Oscillospiraceae. The record is from RNAcentral.
UUCGGAAUGAAACUAGAUAUGACUUAGUGGCGGACGGGUGAGUAACACGUGAGCAACCUGCCUUUCAGAGGGGGAUAACGGCUGGAAACGACUGCUAAUACCGCAUAAGCCCACGGUGCUGCAUGGCACUGCGGGAAAAGGAUUUAUUCGCUCUAGGAUGGACUCGCGUCCAAUUAGCUAGUUGGUGAGGUAACGGCCCACCAAGGCGACGAUUGGUAGCCGGACUGAGAGGUUGAACGGCCACAUUGGGACUGAGAUACGGCCCAGACUCC